UGGGGAAUAUUGCGCAAUGGGGGAAACCCUGACGCAGCCAUGCCGCGUGAGUGAAGAAGGUCUUCGGAUCGUAAAGCUCUUUCAACGGUGAAGAUGAUGACGGUAGCCGUAGAAGAAGCCCCGGCUAACUUCGUGCCAGCAGCCGCGGUAAUACGAAGGGGGCAAGCGUUGUUCGGAAUUACUGGGCGUAAAGGGCGUGUAGGCGGUCUAAUCAGUCAGUGGUGAAAGCCCUGGGCUCAACCCAGGAAUUGCCUUUGAUACUGUUAGACUAGAGUUCGGGAGAGGAUAGUGGAAUUCCCAGUGUAGAGGUGAAAUUCGUAGAUAUUUGGAGGAACACCAGUGGCGAAGGCGGCUCACUGGCUCGAUACUGACGCUGAGGUGCGAAAGUGUGGGGAGCAAACAGGAUUAGAUACCCUGGUAGUCCACGCCGUAAACGAUGUCUGCUAGUCGUUGGGGGGCGUAGCCCUUCAGUGGACGCCGCUAACGCAUUAAGCAGACCGCCUGGGAGUACGGCCGCAAGGUU
Molecule: ribosomal RNA, 523 nt
Filed under: uncultured bacterium
Lineage: Bacteria
Description: bacterial SSU rRNA
Rfam family: Bacterial small subunit ribosomal RNA
Source: RNAcentral